RNAcentral lists this unclassified non-coding RNA (108 nucleotides) under soil metagenome. RNAcentral describes it as "partial internal transcribed spacer 1". The record is from RNAcentral.
GUGAAGCGCCCUCACGGGCUUAUACUAUUCCAAACCUCUGUGAACCGUGCCCUUCGGGGCUAUUUUACAAACAUGGUGUAAUGAACGUCAUAUAUCCAUAACAAAACA